This 1168-nucleotide ribosomal RNA is filed under the name Salmonella enterica subsp. houtenae. RNAcentral's name for it is "partial 23S ribosomal RNA". It matches the Rfam family "Bacterial large subunit ribosomal RNA", at positions 1775 to 2925 of the family's 2925-position model. The record is from RNAcentral. Lineage: Bacteria; Pseudomonadati; Pseudomonadota; Gammaproteobacteria; Enterobacterales; Enterobacteriaceae.
AGUCGAAGAUACCAGCUGGCUGCAACUGUUUAUUAAAAACACAGCACUGUGCAAACACGAAAGUGGACGUAUACGGUGUGACGCCUGCCCGGUGCCGGAAGGUUAAUUGAUGGGGUCAGCGCAAGCGAAGCUCCUGAUCGAAGCCCCGGUAAACGGCGGCCGUAACUAUAACGGUCCUAAGGUAGCGAAAUUCCUUGUCGGGUAAGUUCCGACCUGCACGAAUGGCGUAAUGAUGGCCAGGCUGUCUCCACCCGGGACUCAGUGAAAUUGAACUCGCUGUGAAGAUGCAGUGUACCCGCGGCAAGACGGAAAGACCCCGUGAACCUUUACUAUAGCUUGACACUGAACACUGGUCCUUGAUGUGCAGGAUAGGUGGGAGGCUUUGAAGUGUGGACGCCAGUCUGCAUGGAGCCAUCCUUGAAAUACCACCCUUUAAUGGCUGGUGUUCUAACGUGGGCCCGUGAACCGGGUUGCGGACAGUGUCUGGUGGGUAGUUUGACUGGGGCGGUCUCCUCCUAAAGAGUAACGGAGGAGCACGAAGGUUGGCUAAUCCUGGUCGGACAUCAGGAGGUUAGUGCAAUGGCAUAAGCCAGCUUGACUGCGAGCGUGACGGCGCGAGCAGGUGCGAAAGCAGGUCAUAGUGAUCCGGUGGUUCUGAAUGGAAGGGCCAUCGCUCAACGGAUAAAAGGUACUCCGGGGAUAACAGGCUGAUACCGCCCAAGAGUUCAUAUCGACGGCGGUGUUUGGCACCUCGAUGUCGGCUCAUCACAUCCUGGGGCUGAAGUAGGUCCCAAGGGUAUGGCUGUUCGCCAUUUAAAGUGGUACGCGAGCUGGGUUUAGAACGUCGUGAGACAGUUCGGUCCCUAUCUGCCGUGGGCGCUGGAAGAUUGAGGGGGGCUGCUCCUAGUACGAGAGGACCGGAGUGGACGCAUCACUGGUGUUCGGGUUGUCAUGCCAAUGGCACUGCCCGGUAGCUACAUGCGGAAGAGAUAAGUGCUGAAAGCAUCUAAGCACGAAACUUGCCCCGAGAUGAAUCUUCCCUGAGCCUUUAAGGCUCCUGAAGGAACGUUGAAGACGACGACGUUGAUAGGCCGGGUGUGUAAGCGCAGCGAUGCGUUGAGCUAACCGGUACUAAUGAACCGUGAGGCUUAACCUUACAACGCCGAAG